Molecule: ribosomal RNA, 497 nt
Filed under: uncultured bacterium
Lineage: Bacteria
Description: partial 16S ribosomal RNA
Rfam family: Bacterial small subunit ribosomal RNA
Source: RNAcentral
GAUGAACGCUGGCGGCGUGCCUAAUACAUGCAAGUCGAGCGAACGGACGAGACGCUUGCUUCUCUGAUGUUAGCGGCGGACGGGUGAGUAACACGUGGAUAACCUACCUAUAAGACUUGGAUAACUUCGGGAAACCGUAGCUAAUACCGGAUAAUAUUUUCAACCGCAUGGUUCAAAAGUGAAAGAUGGUCUUGCUGUCACUUAUCGAUGGAUCCGCUCUGCAUUAGCUAGUUGGUAAGGUAACGGCUUACCAAGGCAACGAUGCAUAGCCGAACUGAGAGGGUGAUCGGCCACACUGGAGCGGAGACGCGGUCCAGACUCCUACGAGAGGCAGCAGUAGGGAAUCGUCCGCAAUGGGCGAAAGCCUGACGGAGCAACGGCGCGUGAGUGAUGAAGGUCUUCGGAGCGUAAAACUCUGUUAUUAGGGAAGAACAUAUGUGUAAGUAAAUGUGCACAUCUUGACGGUACCUAAUCAGAAAGCCACGGCUAACUACGUG